Long non-coding RNA from Syzygium oleosum, 518 nucleotides. RefSeq lists it as uncharacterized. The record is from RefSeq and is a predicted model, not a curated record. The transcript is spliced from 2 exons. NCBI's taxonomy places the organism in Eukaryota, Viridiplantae, Streptophyta, Magnoliopsida, Myrtales, Myrtaceae.
AUGUUUCCAAAUUUUGUCUCUAGCUGCACCUUGAAGAUCAUUCGUUCAUCUGUUUUCCAUUUUCGUAGAUCGAUGAGGUGGCCCUUGAUGAUGUGCCACAUGUUAUAGGAAACUACCAUAUUUGUGUGGUGAAGAACAAGCGCCUCGACUCAGAUACUAUAGCUUGAGUGAAACAGAUGAAGCUUAUAAUGCAAUAUGGUGUCGGUCUGGAAGGUGUUGAUAUUGACACUGCCACCAAAAAUGGAAUAAAAGUUGCCAGGAUUCCAGGUGACUUCACGGGAAAUGCAGCAUCCUGUGCAGAGAUGGCUAUUUACCUGAUGCUGGGUUUACUCCGAAAGCAGGUAUGUUUGAUCACUGGAAAAAUCUUGAGUAGCUGGCAUGUGAUUCAUUCUUACACGCAGAGUCCACAGGUCAGGUUUGUCGUAUGUCGUGCUUAUUUUUGUUCCUUCAUAGGGAAUGACAGGUUGAAUAUUUUAGCUGUAACAUUUUCUGAAAUGUGAAUAAAUCCCCUAUUGUUU